UACAGAGGGGGCAAGCGUUAUUCGGAAUUAUUGGGCGUAAAGGGCGCGUAGGCGGCUUUGCAAGUGACGGGUGAAAUCCCUCGGCUUAACCGAGGAACUGCCUGUCAAACUGCAUGGCUUGAGACCGGGAGAGGUGAGUGGAAUUCCCAGUGUAGAGGUGAAAUUCGUAGAUAUUCGCAAGAACACCAGUGGCGAAGGCGGCUCACUGGCCCGGUACUGACGCUGAGGCACGAAAGCGUGGGGAGCAAACAGG
This 253-nucleotide ribosomal RNA is filed under the name uncultured bacterium. RNAcentral describes it as "partial 16S ribosomal RNA". It matches the Rfam family "Bacterial small subunit ribosomal RNA", at positions 524 to 776 of the family's 1533-position model. The record is from RNAcentral.